AACGGUCUAUACCUGCGGUACCUGCGGAAGGAUCAUUAUCGAGUUUUGACUGGGUUGUAGCUGGCCUUCCGAGGCAUGUGCACGCCCUGCUCAUCCACUCUACACCUGUGCACUUACUGUGGGUUUCAGAUGGCCGUAGUGAGCCUUAACGGGUUUGCGAAAGCCUCUGUGCCUGCGUUUAUUACAAACUCUUACAAGUAACAGAAUGUGUAUCGCGAUGUAACGCAUCUAUAUACAACU
Molecule: unclassified non-coding RNA, 240 nt
Filed under: soil metagenome
Description: partial contains 5.8S ribosomal RNA, internal transcribed spacer 2, and large subunit ribosomal RNA
Source: RNAcentral